Molecule: ribosomal RNA, 253 nt
Filed under: uncultured bacterium
Lineage: Bacteria
Description: partial 16S ribosomal RNA
Rfam family: Bacterial small subunit ribosomal RNA
Source: RNAcentral
GACAGAGGGUGCAAACGUUGCUCGGAAUCACUGGGCGUAAAGGGCGUGUAGGCGGGAAGGAAAGUCAGACGUGAAAUCCCUCGGCUCAACCGGGGAACUGCGUCUGAGACUGGAAGGCUUGAAUCCGGGAGAGGGAUGUGGAAUUCCAGGUGUAGCGGUGAAAUGCGUAGAUAUCUGGAGGAACACCGGUGGCGAAGGCGGCAUCCUGGACCGGUAUUGACGCUGAGGCGCGAAAGCCAGGGGAGCAAACGGG